AGCGUGCUGCCUGCCGCCUGCGUGCUCGUUCACGAUAGGGCCAGCGUCAGGUGGGAGAGGCGCGUUCCAGUUGGAAGUCACGUGAGGUUCAGCCGGGACUUGAGGCGGGAAAACAUCCCAUACAAGCGUACACAUACCCUUUACUUACUAACGACACUAUAGCGAGCUAGAUAACUGAAUGGUUAGCUAGCCGAGUUACUAGCUACAAACACAAAUAGAUAGCUACCGACAUACUGUAGCUAGGUAGCCGGUUAUAGAGAGGAUGGUUAGCUAGUUACGAGUUAUUAGCUACCUACACAAAAUGAUAGAUGGAUAUCUAGCCUGAGUUUCUAAACGGUGAAUGAUUAGCUUGCUUUAGUUACGAGCCACCGACACGGGUAUAGGCAUGAUCUAGCUAGAUAUUGAAUGUCCACCCAUUACACAUUUCUAAAAGUUAAACAUUUUUAACAUCUUGUUAUUCAGUGUUUAAUGUAGCCAUGUUUUUGGUGAGUGCAAAAAAGCUACUGGAUGGUUCUUAUGCAAGAUGCGUAAAAGUAUUCAUGCUACUGGAGAUGCUGAGCCAAGUCAAGUCAGCCCUCUGCUACACCACACAGCACUCCAGGAUGAUUCAAAAGCUGAAAUCCCAGGAUGGAAAAGUCAAAUGCAACACAAUGCCAUUCUGGACUUUACAAAAGAAUCUGAGAGAGAACAUCAACGACAGGAGGAGACUAAGGCCAAAACAGGGAUGUUUUUAAACCUUGAGAUAAUGCCUGAUAAGGUUUAUACAUUUGUUGAGUUUAUCAUAUUCUUAUUUCUAUUUCAUAUGUAUAUUUGAGACAUUUUCUUUUUUUUAUGUUUUAGUGCUGAUUGCAAGCUAUUAUUUAUUAGAGUUAUUUGGUGUUUGUCAAUAAAUGUCACACUUA
Long non-coding RNA from Dunckerocampus dactyliophorus (ringed pipefish), 902 nucleotides. RefSeq lists it as uncharacterized. The transcript is spliced from 3 exons. Lineage: Eukaryota; Metazoa; Chordata; Actinopteri; Syngnathiformes; Syngnathidae. The record is from RefSeq and is a predicted model, not a curated record.